Molecule: ribosomal RNA, 464 nt
Filed under: uncultured bacterium
Lineage: Bacteria
Description: partial 16S ribosomal RNA
Rfam family: Bacterial small subunit ribosomal RNA
Source: RNAcentral
CUACGGGUCGCAGCAGUGAGGAAUUUUGCGCAAUGGGGGAAACCCUGACGCAGCAACGCCGCGUGAGCGAAGAAGGCCUUCGGGUCGUAAAGCUCUGUCAAGUGGGAAAAAAAUUCUUUGAUGAACAGUCAAAGGACUUGAUGGUACCACUGGAGGAAGCACCGGCUAACUCCGUGCCAGCAGCCGCGGUAAUACGGAGGGUGCAAGCGUUGUUCGGAAUUACUGGGCGUAAAGAGCGUGUAGGCGGGUUGACAAGUCAGAUGUGAAAGCCCCGGGCUCAACCCGGGAAGUGCAUUUGAAACUGUUUCACUAGAGUAUGGGAGAGGGGAGUGGAAUUCCUGGUGUAGAGGUGAAAUUCGUAGAUAUCAGGAGGAACACCCGUGGCGAAGGCGAUUCUCUGGACCAAUACUGACGCUGAGACGCGAAAGCGUGGGGAGCAAACAGGAUUAGAUACCCCCGUAGUC